AUACGGAGGAUCCGAGCGUUAUCCGGAUUUAUUGGGUUUAAAGGGUGCGCAGGCGGCCAUUUAAGUCAGCGGUUAAAUCGUGGGGCUCAACCCCAUUCUGCCGUUGAUACUGGGUGGCUUGAUUGCGGUCGAGGUUGGCGGAAUUCGUUGUGUAGCGGUGAAAUGCAUAGAGAUGACGAAGAACACCGAUUGCGUAGGCAGCUGACCAGACCGCAAAUGACGCUCAUGCACGAAAGUGCGGGGAUCGAACAGGAUUAGAUACCCUGGUAGUCCACACAGUAAACGAUGAAUACUUGUUUUCGGCGAUAUAAUGUCGGAGGCAAAGCGAAAGCGAUAAGUAUUCCACCUGGGGAGUACACCGGCAACGGUGAAACUCAAAUGAAUUGACGGGG
RNAcentral lists this ribosomal RNA (392 nucleotides) under uncultured bacterium. RNAcentral describes it as "partial 16S ribosomal RNA". It matches the Rfam family "Bacterial small subunit ribosomal RNA", at positions 523 to 918 of the family's 1533-position model. The record is from RNAcentral.